Molecule: transfer RNA, 76 nt
Filed under: Bacilli bacterium
Lineage: Bacteria; Bacillati; Bacillota; Bacilli
Description: tRNA-Ala
Rfam family: tRNA
About the family: Transfer RNA (tRNA) molecules are approximately 80 nucleotides in length. Their secondary structure includes four short double-helical elements and three loops (D, anti-codon, and T loops).
Source: RNAcentral
GGGGAAUUAGCUCAGCUGGGAGAGCACUUGCCUUGCACGCAGGGGGUCAGCGGUUCGAGCCCGCUAUUCUCCACCA